Molecule: unclassified non-coding RNA, 187 nt
Filed under: uncultured fungus
Lineage: Eukaryota; Fungi
Description: partial contains 18S rRNA, ITS1, 5.8S rRNA, ITS2 and 28S rRNA
Source: RNAcentral
AAGGAUCAUUAUCGUGGGGCUCCGGCCCCGUCGAGAUAGAACCCUUGCCUUUUUUGAGUACCGUCCGUUUCCUCGGCAGGCCCGCCUGCCAACGGGGACCCCAACAAAAACCAAACCCCUUCCGCACCUGUAUAGUCUGAAAAAAAUAAAAAAAUUAAAACUUUCAACAACGGAUCUCUUGGUUCUG